UUUGGUGGCGAUAGCGAAGAGGUCACACCCGUUUCCAUACCGAACACGGAAGUUAAGCUCUUCAGCGCCGAUGGUAGUCGGGGGUUUCCCCCUGUGAGAGUAGGACGCCGCCAAGC
Molecule: ribosomal RNA, 116 nt
Filed under: Bacillus subtilis
Lineage: Bacteria; Bacillati; Bacillota; Bacilli; Caryophanales; Bacillaceae
Also listed under: 2 other names
Source: RNAcentral